RNAcentral lists this ribosomal RNA (429 nucleotides) under Bacteroidota bacterium. RNAcentral describes it as "Bacteroidetes bacterium partial 16S ribosomal RNA". It matches the Rfam family "Bacterial small subunit ribosomal RNA", at positions 355 to 776 of the family's 1533-position model. Lineage: Bacteria; Pseudomonadati; Bacteroidota. The record is from RNAcentral.
UAGGGAAUCUUCCGCAAUGGGCGAAAGCCUGACGGAGCAACGCCGCGUGAGUGAUGAAGGUCUUCGGAUCGUAAAACUCUGUUAUUAGGGAAGAACAACUGGGUAAGUAACUAUGCACGUCUUGACGGUACCUAAUCAGAAAGCCACGGCUAACUACGUUCCAGCAGCCGCGGUAAUACGUAGGUGGCAAGCGUUAUCCGGAAUUAUUGGGCGUAAAGCGCGCGGAGGCGGUUUUUUAAUUCGGGUGUGAAAGCCCACGGCUCAACCGUGGAGGGUCGUUGGAAGCUGGAGAUCUUGAGAGCAGAAGAGGAAAGUGGAAUUCCAUGUGUAGCGGUGAGAUGCGCAGAGAUAUGGAGGAACACCAGUGGCGAAGGCGACUUUCUGGUCUGUAACUGACGCUGAUGUGCGAAAGCGUGGGGAUCAAACAGG